RNAcentral lists this transfer RNA (73 nucleotides) under Ursus americanus (American black bear). It matches the Rfam family "tRNA". From Rfam's summary of the family: Transfer RNA (tRNA) molecules are approximately 80 nucleotides in length. Their secondary structure includes four short double-helical elements and three loops (D, anti-codon, and T loops). RNAcentral also lists the same sequence under 2 other names. Lineage: Eukaryota; Metazoa; Chordata; Mammalia; Carnivora; Ursidae. The record is from Rfam by way of RNAcentral.
UGCCGGCUGGCUCAGUCGGUGGAGCAUGUGACUCUUGAUCUCGGGGUCAUGAGUUCAAGCCCCAUGUUGGCAG